AAAAUGCGAUAAGUAAUGUGAAUUGCAGAAUUCAGUGAAUCAUCGAAUCUUUGAACGCACAUUGCGCCCGCCAGUAUUCUGGCGGGCAUGCCUGUUCGAGCGUCAUUUCAACCCUCAAGCCCCCGGGUUUGGUGUUGGGGAUCGGGCUGCGGUUCUACCGCGUCCCGGCCCCGAAAUCUAGUGGCGGUCUCGCUGCAGCCUCCAUUGCGUAGUAGCUAACACCUCGCAACUGGAACGCGGCGCGGCCAAGCCGUUAAACCCCCAACUUCUGAAUGUUGACCUCGGAUCAGGUAGGAAUCCCCGCUGAACUUCAGC
RNAcentral lists this unclassified non-coding RNA (315 nucleotides) under plant metagenome. RNAcentral describes it as "partial contains 5.8S ribosomal RNA, internal transcribed spacer 2, and large subunit ribosomal RNA". The stretch from base 1 to 105 matches the Rfam family "5.8S ribosomal RNA", at positions 50 to 154 of the family's 154-position model. The record is from RNAcentral.